RNAcentral lists this ribosomal RNA (546 nucleotides) under Algoriphagus oliviformis. RNAcentral describes it as "Algoriphagus sp. H41 partial 23S ribosomal RNA". It matches the Rfam family "Bacterial large subunit ribosomal RNA", at positions 381 to 933 of the family's 2925-position model. Lineage: Bacteria; Pseudomonadati; Bacteroidota; Cytophagia; Cytophagales; Cyclobacteriaceae. The record is from RNAcentral.
UAAAAUGCACAGGUCGUGAGUUCGAUGAGUAGGGCGGGACACGUGACAUCCUGUCUGAAUAUGGGGGGACCAUCCUCCAAGGCUAAAUACUCCUGACUGACCGAUAGUGAACCAGUACCGUGAGGGAAAGGCGAAAAGAACCCCGGCGAGGGGAGUGAAAUAGAACCUGAAACCGUGUACGUACAAGCAGUGGGAGCACCUUCGUGGUGUGACUGCGUACCUUUUGUAUAAUGGGUCAGCGACUUAUAUUUUGUAGCAAGGUUAACCGUAUAGGGGAGCCGUAGGGAAACCGAGUCUUAACUGGGCGAAUAGUUGCAAGGUAUAGACCCGAAACCCGGUGAUCUAGCCAUGGGCAGGUUGAAGGUUGGGUAACACUAACUGGAGGACCGAACCGACUAAUGUUGAAAAAUUAGCGGAUGACUUGUGGCUGGGGGUGAAAGGCCAAUCAAACCGGGAGAUAGCUGGUUCUCCCCGAAAGCUAUUUAGGUAGCGCCUCGUGAACUCAUCUUCGGGGGUAGAGCACUGUUUCGGCUAGGGGGCCAUCCC